GUUUCCGCGGGAAAGAAAAAGGCUACAAUGCGAAGGGUUUUUCUCUUAGUUCAGACAUGAUAUCGAAAUUCCCAACGGUGAGAAUUCUCGGAAUUGUGUUGCGAACAUGAUACUCAAAUUUCACGACGAUCCAACGGUGAACGGGUUCGAGAUCGUCGUUUUUCUGAGACUGGUUUGGUGGGCUGCGGGAAAAAGAAAGGGUUUUGAGAGGAGAAGGGGAAAAACGAAAAUGAGGCCAAAAGGAGGCAGCUAAGUUAACAUAACUAUUUAUACCUAGGGUACUCGAAGUUGAAAAAGUUAGCAUAAGUUAUUUUGUUUGAAGUUAAAAAAAUAAAAAUGGGAAGUUAGUAGAAGUUAUUUAUAAAAA
Molecule: long non-coding RNA, 367 nt
Filed under: Glycine max (soybean)
Lineage: Eukaryota; Viridiplantae; Streptophyta; Magnoliopsida; Fabales; Fabaceae
Description: long non-coding RNA (GMAX_LNC000355)
Source: RNAcentral